CAAAGGUAGUAAUAGUUAUGUUCUUGAAACUUAAAAAAUUUGGCGGUAUUUUAGUCUAUUCAGAGGAACCUGUUUUAUAAUCGAUAAUCCACGUUGGACCUUACUUAAUUUAGUAAAUCAAUUUAUAUACCGUCGUUAUUUGAAUAUUUUAUAAGAAAAAUAAUAUUCAAUAAAUUUAAUAAAAUUAUAUAUCAGAUCAAGGUGUAGUUAAUGAUUAAGUAAAAAUGGGUUACAAUAAAGUUAUUUAAAUGAAUUUAAUUAUGAAAAAUUUAAUGAAGGUGGAUUUGAAAGUAAAUUUAUAAAGAUAAAUAGAUUGAUUUUAGCUCUAAAAUAUGUACACAUC
This 343-nucleotide ribosomal RNA is filed under the name Willistoniella pleuropunctata. Its description in RNAcentral is "partial 12S ribosomal RNA". Lineage: Eukaryota; Metazoa; Arthropoda; Insecta; Diptera; Sepsidae. The record is from RNAcentral.